GCCGGAAUAGCUCAGUCGGUAGAGCAGAGGACUGAAAAUCCUCGUGC
Molecule: transfer RNA, 47 nt
Filed under: Plagiothecium piliferum
Lineage: Eukaryota; Viridiplantae; Streptophyta; Bryopsida; Hypnales; Plagiotheciaceae
Description: partial tRNA-Phe
Rfam family: tRNA
About the family: Transfer RNA (tRNA) molecules are approximately 80 nucleotides in length. Their secondary structure includes four short double-helical elements and three loops (D, anti-codon, and T loops).
Source: RNAcentral